Gambusia affinis (western mosquitofish) is the source of this 531-nucleotide long non-coding RNA. RefSeq lists it as uncharacterized. The record is from RefSeq and is a predicted model, not a curated record. The transcript has 4 exons. Lineage: Eukaryota; Metazoa; Chordata; Actinopteri; Cyprinodontiformes; Poeciliidae.
CCUCAAUUUGUCUUUGUGAUAAUGUUAGUCUUAUUUCAGUUUUUUGGUGUUACUCCACACCCAGCCACUAGGGGGCGACUGUUGCGUUGGUUACAUAGAAAAGGCUUAUGGGCACACGCAGAAGAAUAAACCUUCCUGUUAAACGCUAACGGAAGCUCAACAUGUAUGCCUCAUCUUUUCUGUCACAGCAGUGCAUCAAUCCUGCCGGUGGAUGUCACCGAGGCGGAGGCGACUCUGCCCCCUGAUUGGCUGCCAUUCACAAGUUACAGAUAAAGGGGGAUGAGAAGAACCAGAGCGCCGACUGACGUCUAAUCUUCCCUCAAUGACGAAGGAAUGAAGGAGAGAGAGGCCAGAACUUGUAAAUCAGAGUAAGAAGGAGAAGAAGCCUUUGCUGUGUUUCGCUGCAGUAAAUGUUCGACACCCAGCUGAUUUGACGUCAACCGUGUGGCACUUCAGUUCAGUGAUGUUGCAUUUCUUUUCUCGUGACACUGAAAUGGAAGCAGCUUGAGCCCUAAAUAAAGAGGAGAAAAA